AUCUUCUUAAAAAUUUCGUUAACACCGACGAGAGGCAAGAAUCCCGGCGCUGCAAAUUCCACAAAGGCCAUCGGCCGGCCAAUUGCCACACUGCACAUGGUGGCGAUGCUCAUCCCUUCUUGCCUGAACCCUACCCCAAAACUUGGUCACUGGAAUCGCCCUCCAAUUCUCUCAGCGCUAUGCAAACAUCAGAGAGGAGCGAGGUUGGAGAUUCGCGGCGUCGCGAGGCCUCAGAUACUGCCGUCUGCAUUCGGAGAAGACAAUGGCCUCCGAGUCUUUGUGCUCUCCGAUAUGCACACGGAUUACGCCGAAAAUAUGAACUGGAUUAAGUGCUUGUCUUCUGUCAACUAUCGAGACGAUGUUCUUCUCAUUGCAGGAGAUGUGGCUGAGACCUACACUAAUUUUGUUUCAACCAUGGCUCUGUUGAAGGAUAGAUUUCAGCGCGUCUUCUUUGUGCCUGGGAAUCACGAUUUGUGGUGUCGUCGAGAGGGAGGCGAUUGUCUCGAUUCUCUUGAAAAGAUGAGUAAACUUCUUGAUGCGUGUAGGGGUCUUGGAGUUGAUACCAAUCCGGCAGUUUUGAACGAAUUGGGAAUCAUUCCUCUGUUCUCUUGGUAUCAUGAGGCGAGUGGUUAAUUGUUACUUCAGUUCUAGAGGUAUCGAUGCUUGUUCUUAUCGGUCAUUUGAUGUUUUGAUCUACUUCAGAGCUUUGACAGAGAAGUGGACAUAAGGACAUCCGCAUUCCAUCUUUGGAGAUGGUGAUUCACUUUCUUUUCCCCUAGUGUGCAAAGACUUCCAUGCUUGCAAGUGGCCUGGAGAACUUUCAAAUGAAGGCACUUCCCUAGCAUUGUUCUUUGAUGCGAUGAACGAAAAGAAUCAUAUAAUGGUUGAGGAAAUCCAGAGGACCUGCAGUCAAAUAAUUACAUUUUCUCAUUUUGUUCCAAGGCCAGAGCUAUGUCCAGAAAAGAGGAUGCUAUUCUAUCCGAAACUCCCCAAAAUUAUUGGCUCGGAUUACCUGGAGGAUCGUAUAAGGUCCAUACACGGGAGUAAAGACACAGCAUCGGCCUGUCAUCUGUUUGGUCAUACUCAUUUCUGCUGGGAUCUUGUACUUGAUGGCAUCAGAUACGUUCAGGCUCCAUUGGCUUAUCCCAGAGAACGCAAGAGGAGGAUGAAUGGUGGUGAAAAUUGGCUUCCUUUCUGCAUUUAUUCCAAUGGAAGGUUCGCUCAUAAACUCACCCCUUGUUAUUGGUCCGAUUAUUAUGCUGCCAAUCCAAGAUCACCCCACAACACUCAACUUGCUCCUUGGGUUGCCAAAUUUUAUAGAAGAUUAUAGAACAUCCAUCUUGUAUUCCCAUAAUAUAAUUAUCUUUAUUUUCUAAAGUUGAGUUUU
Momordica charantia (bitter melon) is the source of this 1387-nucleotide non-coding RNA. NCBI's taxonomy places the organism in Eukaryota, Viridiplantae, Streptophyta, Magnoliopsida, Cucurbitales, Cucurbitaceae. The record is from RefSeq and is a predicted model, not a curated record.